Beta vulgaris subsp. vulgaris (sugar beet) is the source of this 1722-nucleotide RNA transcript. RefSeq lists it as uncharacterized. NCBI's taxonomy places the organism in Eukaryota, Viridiplantae, Streptophyta, Magnoliopsida, Caryophyllales, Amaranthaceae. The transcript is spliced from 12 exons. The record is from RefSeq and is a predicted model, not a curated record.
CCCAAAUGGGGCUUUAACACUAGAAUUGUUCCAAGUCUUAAACUCCAUACAAGGCCCAUUCAGUUCUUGCAGUUGCAGAACAUCAAUACCAGUUUAGGCGCACAAUUCCCUUGAACAAAAUAGCCGCCGUUGUAACCGCCGAAGAUGGACUACCACAACAAGCUCAUCCUCGCUCCUAUGGUUCGAGUGGGUACACUGCCAUUGAGGCUAUUAUCAGCUGAAUAUGGUGCAGAUAUCACAUAUGGAGAGGAAAUCAUCGACCAUAAGAUUAUUAAGUGUGAUCGUGUUGUCAAUGAGUAUCUGGGUACUACUGAUCUAGUUGAGAAAGGUACACAGAGUGUGGUGUUUAGGACGUGUCCAGAGGAACGAGACCGGGUGGUGUUUCAGAUGGGGACCUCUGAUGCUAUUAGGGCUCUCAAGGCUGCCCAACUUGUGUGCGAUGAUGUUGCUGCUGUUGAUAUUAAUAUGGGUUGUCCUAGGUCAUUUUCUAUCAGUGGGGGCAUGGGUGCUGCACUGUUGUCAAAGCCAGAGAUCAUUCAUGAUAUAUUGAGAACAUUGAAGAGGAACCUAAAUACUCCUGUGACUUGUAAAAUUCGACUUUUGCGAACAUCUCAUGACACAGUGGAAUUGGCAAGACGGAUUGAGAAAACAGGUGUUUCUGCUCUUGCUGUCCAUGGAAGAAGAGUUCCGGAUAGACCAAGGGAUCCUGCAAAGUGGAAUGAGAUUGCUGAUGUAGUUGCUGCUUUAUCAAUUCCAGUGAUACCAAAUGGAGAUGUUUUCACUUAUGAAGAUAUCGUACGCAUCAAAAUUGCUACAGGUGCCUCCUCGGUGAUGGUUGCAAGGGGUGCUCUUUGGAAUGCAUCGAUUUUCUCUCCUCAAGGAAAAUUGCCAUGGGAAGAAGUGAAGAAAGAGUAUGUCAGAAAGAGCAUCUUGUGGGAUAAUGAAGUUAAAAGCACAAAGCACACCUUAAAGGAAAUGAUAAUGCACCAUUCUUGCCUUGGAUUAGAAGAAGGGAAGGCGGUGAUCAAGUCAGAAACCUUGGCGGACCUUGCGAAACUUUAUGACGAAGAGGAUUAUUUUCAAUUUAUCAAUGAAAGCAGAUGACACAUAAAGGCUUUGUGGCCUUUGUGAAAUGAAAUGUAGGUGAGUGUUCCCAAAAUUUUAAACUUUUAGGUAUGAGCAGCCGACCAGAUUUUUCUGUUAAAAUCAUGGAAAUUUUAUGACGAAGAGGACUAUUUCCAAUUUAUCAAUGAAAACAGAUGAUACAUAAAGGCUUUGUGGCCUUUGUGAAAUGAAAUACAGGAAGCAAGUAAAGUGCCUCGGGAAGUAUUUGAUCUAUAGUUUAUGCUGGAGUUGCUUUAACUGGUUUUUCAGUGGUAUUGGUGAUUCGCUUGUGAGUUUAGACAUCCCCACUCUUGGAUUAACAAUAUUCAAGAACAUCGACUUCACAUGAUUGCUCACUAUCUUUCACUAUCUUCAUCCAGGAGGGACAGAUUUCUCAUGUUCACUAGGCGAUUGUUGUGCAGGAGUUCGAAAAAUUACAUUUGUCACAAGAAUGAUUAUUAGAUCAAAUUGCAUUAGGCUGUGCAUGUUUUCUUAUUUCAGAAAUUUUCAGUUCAUAUUAUGUAUUAUCGGUUUUCUUAUUACAUCGUAUAUGAGGGAUUAUUGGUUUGUAUUAUUUGUUUGGAUAUUUGGAAGUCAUCCUCUCUAUUAUUUGUGACA